AAAUCCUGAGGAUACAACUGUGAUCAAAACAGCCUACCCUGGCUUAUCCAUUGCACUCCGGAUGUGCUGACCCAUGUGAUUUCCCCAAAUGUGGGAAACUUGACUGCAUAAUUUGUGGUAGUGGGGGACUGCAUUCGAGGAAAAAAAAAAACAGCCUAU
This 159-nucleotide small nuclear RNA is filed under the name Aotus nancymaae (Ma's night monkey). RNAcentral describes it as "U1 spliceosomal RNA (ENSANAG00000008444.1)". It matches the Rfam family "U1 spliceosomal RNA", at positions 12 to 155 of the family's 166-position model. Rfam says of the family: U1 is a small nuclear RNA (snRNA) component of the spliceosome (involved in pre-mRNA splicing). Its 5' end forms complementary base pairs with the 5' splice junction, thus defining the 5' donor site of an intron. Lineage: Eukaryota; Metazoa; Chordata; Mammalia; Primates; Aotidae. The record is from RNAcentral.